Long non-coding RNA from Symphalangus syndactylus (siamang), 871 nucleotides. RefSeq lists it as uncharacterized. The record is from RefSeq and is a predicted model, not a curated record. Lineage: Eukaryota; Metazoa; Chordata; Mammalia; Primates; Hylobatidae.
UAGUUAACAGUUCUGCAGAACAUUUUAGAAAUGGUAACAUAAGUAUAAACAACAAAACAGUGAGAUUCUGAUACCAACUUCCAGUUCCUCCUCACCAAGACUUUGUGAAAACUCUUCAGCUCAUCUGGCAAAACGAACAGGCAAAUACACAGAUACCAGGACACUUCCUUUUGAACACUUGGCUGCAGAAGCUAAGAGACAUGGGAUAUGCCAAUUGAUUCUUACAUGAUAUGAGAGAUAUAGGCGAGCCAAAAGACUGCAGAGCUUCCAGUUUUAUCUCCUCAGCCAGUCACCAGAAGAAGGUUACAGGUCAUGAACUGCAGACUCAGGAAGAUAAAUUGGCAAAGCAGCACUGUGAUGGAAGAGCUCCUGGCAGCAAUGGAAAUACUGAAGCCCAGCAGAAAGAGUCUAAGUCGAGGAGGCAUGAGGACAAGAUGAUCUGUAAAUGCCCUUGUUUGCAUGGGUGAGAUGUCACCAUUCCCAUACAUUCACAGAGCAACCCACAGAGUGAACUAUAUACCAAGUGAGCAGAGGAUAAAGUAGGAUGAUCACAGGAAGGGUAAACAGGCCCCUCCCUAACCUGGAGUACCCUCACAACAUUUGCUCAGCAAUUUAUGACAAGUCUGCUUUUUAUCCUGCUGUAGACACCUAAAUGAGCCCAGUAUCCCAGUUAAGUCCUGAACCCCCAAAAUUCAUCUAGGCUCAUAUGCCGUCCUAUUGACAUUGCUGCUCUUUUCCUGGUUCCCUCACAUCAACUCUCCAAUUUGUGUGACUAUCCCACACCCCACAACCAUUUUUAGUUUUUAUGUUAGCUCUUAUUCUAACCGGCAAUGUGGAUUAAUGUUUUAAUUUUGAACUUACCAUUCCAAUU